UCUAAUGUGGCAGAAAAGUGCAUUGGAUUUAAGCUCCAAAUAUAAAGUAAUCAUAAACUUUUAUUAGAA
This 69-nucleotide transfer RNA is filed under the name Tachycines shuangcha. RNAcentral describes it as "tRNA-Leu". It matches the Rfam family "tRNA". Rfam says of the family: Transfer RNA (tRNA) molecules are approximately 80 nucleotides in length. Their secondary structure includes four short double-helical elements and three loops (D, anti-codon, and T loops). The record is from RNAcentral. Lineage: Eukaryota; Metazoa; Arthropoda; Insecta; Orthoptera; Rhaphidophoridae.